Stegostoma tigrinum is the source of this 369-nucleotide long non-coding RNA. RefSeq lists it as uncharacterized. Lineage: Eukaryota; Metazoa; Chordata; Chondrichthyes; Orectolobiformes; Stegostomatidae. The record is from RefSeq and is a predicted model, not a curated record. The transcript has 3 exons.
AGAUACAAAAGAUCUUGGGCAGAAUUUUCCUUGGCUUUGAGUGGAACGGACAAAGCUCCCCAUUCUCCACUGCUUCCCAGAAACCGGAUGGACCUAAUUCUCGACAUUGUUGUGAUUAGUUUACUUCGCCUUUGCAGUUCUCAUCUCAGCCACACAAGUUGUAAGAACUUCAAACCUGUGGAAUAAUUCCAAGGACUGAGGAACCUUCACUGCUCUCUUCUGGAAUUCCAUACCUGCUUCAUUCCAAGUCAUAAGCACCUUAACUUGCCCUUGGUUGAAAUCAAUCAAAAUGCACACAAUUUUUUUCUUGAUAGAUGAUUUGGUAGCUACUGUAGCCCAGAAAGGUUGGAGGAAGAAAAUAUGAUAUUG